RNAcentral lists this transfer RNA (70 nucleotides) under Dipodomys ordii (Ord's kangaroo rat). It matches the Rfam family "tRNA". Rfam says of the family: Transfer RNA (tRNA) molecules are approximately 80 nucleotides in length. Their secondary structure includes four short double-helical elements and three loops (D, anti-codon, and T loops). Lineage: Eukaryota; Metazoa; Chordata; Mammalia; Rodentia; Heteromyidae. The record is from Rfam by way of RNAcentral.
GGGAAUGUGGCUUAGUGGUAGAGUGCUUGUCUAACAUGCAUGAAGCCCUGGGUUCAAAUCCUCAGUACCA